GACGAACGCUGGCGGCGUGCUUAACACAUGCAAGUCGAACGGAAAGGCCCUGCUUUUGUUGGGUGCUCGAGUGGCGAACGGGUGAGUAACACGUGUGUAACCUGCCCUUGACUUUGGGAUAACUUCAGGAAACUGGGGCUAAUACCGGAUAGGAUCUCCUGCUGCAUGGUGGGGGUUGGAAAGUUUCGGUGGUUGGGGAUGGACUCGCGGCUUAUCAGCUUGUUGGUGGGGUAGUGGCUUACCAAGGCUUUGACGGGUAGCCGGCCUGGGAGGGUGACCGGCCACAUUGGGACUGAGAUACGGCCCAGACGCCUACGGGAGGCAGCAGUGGGGAAUAUUGCACAAUGGGCGGAAGCCUGAUGCAGCAACGCCGCGUGCGGGAUGACGGCCUUCGGGUUGUAAACCGCUUUCGCCUGUGACGAAGCGUGAGUGACGGUAAUGGGUAAAGAAGCACCGGCUAACUACGUG
RNAcentral lists this ribosomal RNA (468 nucleotides) under uncultured bacterium. RNAcentral describes it as "partial 16S ribosomal RNA". It matches the Rfam family "Bacterial small subunit ribosomal RNA", at positions 28 to 507 of the family's 1533-position model. The record is from RNAcentral.